Molecule: ribosomal RNA, 348 nt
Filed under: uncultured bacterium
Lineage: Bacteria
Description: bacterial SSU rRNA
Rfam family: Bacterial small subunit ribosomal RNA
Source: RNAcentral
AAAAACCUAACACCGCAUGGUGUAGGGUUGAAAGAUGGGUUUCGGCCAUCACUUUAGGAUGGACCCCGCGGUGCAUUAGUUAGUUGGUGAGGUAAAGGCUCACCAAGACCGUGAUGCAUAGCCGACCUGAGAGGUAAUCGGCCACACUGGGACUGAGACACGGCCCAGACUCCUACGGGAGGCAGCAGUAGGGAAUCUUCCACAAUGGACGAAAGUCUGAUGGAGCAACGCCGCGUGAGUGAAGAAGGUUUUCGGAUCGUAAAACUCUGUUGUUGGAGAAGAAUGUAUCUGAUAGUAACUGAUCAGGUAGUGACGGUAUCCAACCAGAAAGCCACGGCUAACUACGUG